This 803-nucleotide ribosomal RNA is filed under the name Staphylococcus pseudintermedius. RNAcentral's name for it is "partial 23S ribosomal RNA". It matches the Rfam family "Bacterial large subunit ribosomal RNA", at positions 1649 to 2452 of the family's 2925-position model. The record is from RNAcentral. Lineage: Bacteria; Bacillati; Bacillota; Bacilli; Caryophanales; Staphylococcaceae.
CAAACCGACACAGGUAGUCAAGAUGAGAAUUCUAAGGUGAGCGAGCGAACUCUCGUUAAGGAACUCGGCAAAAUGACCCCGUAACUUCGGGAGAAGGGGUGCUCUUUGAGGUUCACGCUUCGAAGAGCCGCAGUGAAUAGGCCCAAGCGACUGUUUAUCAAAAACACAGGUCUCUGCUAAACCGUAAGGUGACGUAUAGGGGCUGACGCCUGCCCGGUGCUGGAAGGUUAAGAGGAGUGGUUAGCGCAAGCGAAGCUACGAAUCGAAGCCCCAGUAAACGGCGGCCGUAACUAUAACGGUCCUAAGGUAGCGAAAUUCCUUGUCGGGUAAGUUCCGACCCGCACGAAAGGCGUAACGAUUUGGGCACUGUCUCAACGAGAGACUCGGUGAAAUCAUAGUACCGGUGAAGAUGCCGGUUACCCGCGACAGGACGGAAAGACCCCGUGGAGCUUUACUGUAGCCUGAUAUUGAAAUUCGGUACAGUUUGUACAGGAUAGGUAGGAGCCUUAGAAGCGUGAGCGCUAGCUUACGUGGAGGCAUUGGUGGGAUACUACCCUAAUUGUAUUGGAUUUCUAACCCGCAGCACUUAUCGUGCUGGGAGACAGUGUCAGGCGGGCAGUUUGACUGGGGCGGUCGCCUCCUAAAGAGUAACGGAGGCGCUCAAAGGUUCCCUCAGAAUGGUUGGAAAUCAUUCAUAGAGUGUAAAGGCAUAAGGGAGCUUGACUGCGAGACCUACAAGUCGAGCAGGGUCGAAAGACGGACUUAGUGAUCCGGUGGUUCCGCAUGGAAGGGCCAUCGCUCAA